GUCUCUCUAGGAUCCUGGAAGACCCUGAGGCUUUACAUCAAUCAUAAGUAUCUCAUAGAAGGAACCAAAUGCAUCCAAUUGACAUUAGAAACCACAGAUAUUGUCCAGGACAGCUCAAAGCCAGAGACUCAUAAGAUUUGAGCCCUUUUACUUCAGUUACGACUCCUCCAAGAAUCAAUUUAAUGAAUGAGCACCUCCUCCAUGAAACUUUCUGAAAUUUACCUUUUGAGAUCCGGUGACUUCUUGUACGCUCUUAGUUCUUAUAUAUUUCUCCAUAUUGUCUUUAUCAAUGGGUUUUGUAACUGGAGUAAUAUGUAUAUUUGGUUUCUCUUGUUUCCUGCCUUUAGACGGUAAGCUUCUCAAGGUCAGGGACACUAUA
Long non-coding RNA from Ornithorhynchus anatinus (platypus), 379 nucleotides. RefSeq lists it as uncharacterized. The transcript has 2 exons. Lineage: Eukaryota; Metazoa; Chordata; Mammalia; Monotremata; Ornithorhynchidae. The record is from RefSeq and is a predicted model, not a curated record.